Triticum dicoccoides is the source of this 2193-nucleotide long non-coding RNA. RefSeq lists it as uncharacterized. The transcript has 2 exons. The record is from RefSeq and is a predicted model, not a curated record. NCBI's taxonomy places the organism in Eukaryota, Viridiplantae, Streptophyta, Magnoliopsida, Poales, Poaceae.
UUCUUCUCUUCGCCAGCGUUUUUUCUCCACCACAAUGCCUCUUCUCCUUCCUGGCUUCUCCACUGAAGCUCCUCGCCCUCUUUAUCUUCUCCGAUCCCUAUUAAAUCACGUCAGUGCAAAGGAUUCAAUGCACCUUUGCCUCCUCCUCUACCGGUCUACCCUCCCCAUCUUCACGCCCAAAUCAUUGCGCACCGCUUCACCUAUGUCACUCGAUUCAUCUUCUUCUCCUCAACUGCAGGGCUCUGCAGACUGUAGCCCUGUCCCCCCCGCACUACCAUCACCUCCACCUAAUGGACCAGCGCAUCGCAUAUACCAGUAGCAGCAGCCAGGGGAAGCAUUGGCCUGAUCACAUUCGCCGGACUUACUAUCCUUCAUCGGCUAUGGACAUGGGCCGAGCAGGGGUUCCGAUCCAUUGCCGCCCACCAGAUCGUCAAGGAGCUCAAGUGAAUCAGGCUAUGCUCACGCCGUUUGCUCUCCUCCAGGCCCUCCUCGCGUAGACAGCAUCGGAUACACAGGAUGCAGCCAUCCCUGCCGUGACCCCGAUCUGUACAAGAAUUUCGGGUUCCCGUGGGAUGAGCUUGGGAAGAAGAAGCUCACCGGGACAAUGGUCUACCACGAGUGUCGCAUGUUUCUCUGUUGCAAGGGCCCUGACAAGCGCCCAGUCCGACCGGCUCCUCGCUGCCUCCAUCAACGCCCGUAAGCCCAUCCUGAAGAAAGCAUGAGCAUCUCUUCUCCUUCUCCCUCUCCCUCAAUUUCCUUUUUGAUUCGCUUGAUUUGGUUUUCUGAUGUGGUAGAUGUAUGCUUCUGCUAUGGUAGUGUUAUUUGGUUGUGUCUAGAAUGUUUAAAUUUCACAUGAUUAGGAUAUUGUAUGUUUCAUUACAUCUACAUAUGGAUGAACUGAGCUCUGCAUCGGAGCCUUACCUUCUGACAGUACAUCAUCUUGCUCUAGCACAUCGGCUUAAUAUACUGAUGCCACAGGUGGCGACCACGGGUUCCGAUUGAGGCGUUAGCCAAGGACUAGGGAUUGCCAGUUCCUAAGUUUGGUAAAGUAAGUUUUGUUCAAUUUAGUUUUUCAUGCUCGACCUUUUGGGCCCAAGUCGUAGGCAGCAAUAUCCAACAAAGAUAGUCACCUUUUAUACCAUGUUCACAAGGAAUUGUUGUCAAAAAAAUGUUCACAUGGAAUUGGUGCCCCCAAAAUUCAGAAAGUUUUUGCAGGUUUCCUGUGGGCUGCUUACAGAUUAAAUUCAGAGCAAGUAACCACACGAUUUUCCAUCGGCAACUGCACACCAUUAUGUUUCAGGAGGAUAUUUAAUCUGCUUCUUUCACAUUCAGUGUUCUACACAAGUGCUGGUGCAAUGAGGUUCAACCGUGUGUUUUGCCACCCGAUGUUUUGAUGGCACUGGCAUGUACACUAAAUGUGCAGCUCACAUCUAAUAAUUAGUAUUUCAUUGUUGAUAGCACUGAAUAGAAUAUUGUGGAUAUUACAUCUAUGUAUCUUAUCACUUGCUCUUUUUUUUGCCAGCCUGUAUCAGGCUGCUUAUUGCCAUUUCAAUAUACUUUGCGGCUUUAGAUUUUUUUUAUUAUGCUAUAAGAAGCUUCAGUUGGAUGUUUUUGAGCUAGGAGUUCUUGCAGCUGCUAUUUUACUGUUCACCUUAACAUAGCUAAAGAAUAAUAUGGAAAGAACUCCCCCGUCAGUUGAUCUCAGCUUAGGUACAGUUGAUCUUUUUCUUUCUCAAUGCUAUUUUACUUCAUGCUUCACAUUUUGUUCCAUGCUUCACUUAGGUAAAUGAAUAAUGUCGUGAGUGAUCUUUGUUCGGAUGAUUGAACUAAGGAAUAGUAUAGAGAUGGAACCUUUUAUCAGUUCUAUGUAGAAGGACAUUACAAGAUGUAGGCAAGGAGUCAUCUCUGAUGGUCGACAUGCUAUUGCUAAAGGGUUCGCUUCAUCACUGGGCUUCCAUUUGUCAUGAUUAUUCCCUUCCUCUUCCCUCUUCCUUUAUAUCAGAACUUGGUGUGAGUAAUCGUUUAUUCAUGUGGGCUUCAGCCUUCAAGUGUGAUUUGGGUCAAGAUCGACAUAAAGAUGCGUUCCUAUUUAGGUAGUUCAGAUCACGAGACUCACUUGAAUGAAGUAGAAUACAUUCCAAACUAUCUCCUGGUGAUUCCAAUAGCCACAUAUGAUUCCAUGCUUUCGUUUCA